GACGAACGCUGGCGUCGUGCUUAACACAUGCAAGUCGAACGGAAAGGCCUGUCCUUCCUUGUGUUGGACGGGUACUCGAGUGGCGAACGGGUGAGUAACACGUGAGUGAUCUGCCCCCAACUUGGGUAUAAGCCUGGGAAACUGGGUCUAAUUCCCGAUAGGACUGCAGGGUGGUGCCUGUGGUGGAAAACGAUUUUCUAGUGGUUGGGGAUGAGCUCGCGGCCUAUCAGCUUGUUGGUGGGGUAAUGGCCUACCAAGGCGGCGACGGGUAGCCGGCCUGAGAGGGUGGACGGCCACAUUGGGACUGAGAUACGGCCCAGACUCCUACGGGAGGCAGCAGUGGGGAAUAUUGCACAAUGGGCGGAAGCCUGAUGCAGCGACGCCGCGUGGGGGAUGACGGCCUUCGGGUUGUAAACUCCUUUCGACCGCGAGGAAGCCGCCUGGUUGGAAGGGUGGUGACGGUAGUGGUAGAAGAAGCACCGGCUAACUACGUG
This 494-nucleotide ribosomal RNA is filed under the name uncultured bacterium. RNAcentral's name for it is "partial 16S ribosomal RNA". It matches the Rfam family "Bacterial small subunit ribosomal RNA", at positions 28 to 507 of the family's 1533-position model. The record is from RNAcentral.